This 253-nucleotide ribosomal RNA is filed under the name uncultured bacterium. RNAcentral describes it as "partial 16S ribosomal RNA". It matches the Rfam family "Bacterial small subunit ribosomal RNA", at positions 524 to 776 of the family's 1533-position model. The record is from RNAcentral.
UACGUGAGGGGCGAACGUUGUUCGGUGUCACUGGGCUUAAAGGGCGCGUAGGUGGUUGCGUAAGUAACGUGUGAAAUCCCUCGGCUUACCCGGGGAAUUGCAUGUUAUACUGCGUGGCUUGAGGAUCUCAGGGGAAAGGGGAACUCCAGGUGUAGCGGUGAAAUGCGCAGAUAUCGGGAGGAACACCAAUGGCGAAGGCAGCUCGCUGGGACGCUACUGACGCUGAGACGCGAAAGCGUGGGGAGCAAACAGG